This 852-nucleotide ribosomal RNA is filed under the name uncultured Chloroflexota bacterium. RNAcentral describes it as "bacterial SSU rRNA". It matches the Rfam family "Bacterial small subunit ribosomal RNA", at positions 28 to 896 of the family's 1533-position model. The record is from RNAcentral. Lineage: Bacteria; Bacillati; Chloroflexota.
GAUAAACGUUGGCGGUGUGCCUUAUGCAUGCAAGUCGUACGAGGUUAUGGUCUUCGGAUUGUAACCGAGUGGCGAACGGCUGAGUAACACGUAAGUAACCUGCCUGCAAGUGGGGGAUAACCUGUCGAAAGGCAGGCUAAUACCGCAUAUGAUAAUCGAGUGUUGCUUGAUUAUUAAAGCCUUAGGGUGCUUGGAGAUGGGCUUGCGUCUGAUUAGCUAGUUGGUGAGGUAAUGGCUCACCAAGGCGAUGAUCAGUAGCUGGUCUGAGAGGAUGGUCAGCCAGAUGGGGAUUGAGAUACGGCCCCAACUCCUACGGGAGGCAGCAGCAAGGGAUAUUGGGCAAUGGGCGAAAGCCUGACCCAGCGACACCGCGUGAGGGAGGAAGGCCUUCGGGUUGUAAACCUCUUUUCUCGAGGAAGAAUUUUGACGGUACUCGAGGAAUAAGCCUCGGCUAACUACGUGCCAGCAGCCGCGGUAAGACGUAGGAGGCGAACGUUAUCCGGAUUUACUGGGCGUAAAGAGAGCGUAGGCGGCUUUUUAAGUCAAGUGUGAAAUCUUGUGACUCAAUCAGAAGAAGCCGCUUGAUACUGGAUGGCUUGAGGGAAGCAGAAGGAAAUGGAAUUCCCAGUGUAGCGGUGAAAUGCGUUGAUAUUGGGAAGAACACCAGUGGCGAAGGCGAUUUCCUAGGCUUUUCCUGACGCUGAGGCUCGAAAGCGUGGGGAGCGAAGCGGAUUAGAUACCCGCGUAGUCCACGCCUUAAACGGUGGACAUUAGGUAUGGGGAGUAUCGACCCUCUCCGUGUCGAAGCUAACGCUUUAAACGUCCCGCCUGGGGAGUACGGCCGCAAGGCUA